UACGUAUGGUGCAAGCGUUAUCCGGAUUUACUGGGUGUAAAGGGAGCGUAGACGGAUAGGCAAGUCUGGAGUGAAAACCCAGGGCUCAACCCUGGGACUGCUUUGGAAACUGCAGAUCUGGAGUGCCGGAGAGGUAAGCGGAAUUCCUAGUGUAGCGGUGAAAUGCGUAGAUAUUAGGAGGAACACCAGUGGCGAAGGCGGCUUACUGGACGGUGACUGACGUUGAGGCUCGAAAGCGUGGGGAGCAAACAGG
Molecule: ribosomal RNA, 253 nt
Filed under: Drancourtella massiliensis
Lineage: Bacteria; Bacillati; Bacillota; Clostridia; Eubacteriales; Oscillospiraceae
Description: partial 16S ribosomal RNA
Rfam family: Bacterial small subunit ribosomal RNA
Source: RNAcentral